CACACCGCCCGUCACACCAUGAGAGCCGACUCAACCAGAAGUCGCUGCUGUUAACCGCAAGGGAACAGGCGCCGAAGGAGGGGUUGGUGAUUGGGGUG
This 98-nucleotide ribosomal RNA is filed under the name uncultured bacterium. RNAcentral describes it as "partial 16S ribosomal RNA". It matches the Rfam family "Bacterial small subunit ribosomal RNA", at positions 1386 to 1482 of the family's 1533-position model. The record is from RNAcentral.